Molecule: ribosomal RNA, 500 nt
Filed under: uncultured bacterium
Lineage: Bacteria
Description: partial 16S ribosomal RNA
Rfam family: Bacterial small subunit ribosomal RNA
Source: RNAcentral
AUUGAACGCUGGCGGCAUGCUUUACACAUGCAAGUCGAACGGUAACAGGGUGCUUGCACCGCUGACGAGUGGCGAACGGGUGAGUAAUGCGUCGGAACGUGCCGAGUAGUGGGGGAUAACGCAGCGAAAGUUGUGCUAAUACCGCAUACGUACUGAGGUAGAAAGUGGGGGACCUUCGGGCCUCACCCUAUUCGAGCGGCCGACGUCUGAUUAGCUAGUAGGUGAGGUAAAGGCUCACCUAGGCGACGAUCAGUAGCGGGUCCGAGAGGAUGAUCCGCCACACUGGGACUGAGACACGGCCCAGACUCCUACGGGAGGCAGCAGUGGGGAAUUUUGGACAAUGGGCGAAAGCCUGAUCCAGCCAUGCCGCGUGUCUGAAGAAGGCCUUCGGGUUGUAAAGGACUUUUGUCAGGGAGGAAAUCCCUAGUGCUAAUAACACUGGGGGAUGACAGUACCUGAAGAACAAGCACCGGCUAACUACGUGCCAGCCGCCGCAGAAA